RNAcentral lists this transfer RNA (70 nucleotides) under Dipodomys ordii (Ord's kangaroo rat). It matches the Rfam family "tRNA". From Rfam's summary of the family: Transfer RNA (tRNA) molecules are approximately 80 nucleotides in length. Their secondary structure includes four short double-helical elements and three loops (D, anti-codon, and T loops). Lineage: Eukaryota; Metazoa; Chordata; Mammalia; Rodentia; Heteromyidae. The record is from Rfam by way of RNAcentral.
UACUACAGCUCAGUAGUAGAGCUCUUGUCUAGCAUAUAUGAGACCCUGGGUUCAGUUCCCAGUACAGUAA